GACGAACGCUGGCGGCGUGCUUAACACAUGCAAGUCGAACGGAAAGGCCCUGCUUUUGUGGGGUGCUCGAGUGGCGAACGGGUGAGUAACACGUGAGUAACCUGCCCUUGACUUUGGGAUAACUUCAGGAAACUGGGGCUAAUACCGGAUAGGAGCUCCUGCUGCAUGGUGGGGGUUGGAAAGUUUCGGCGGUUGGGGAUGGACUCGCGGCUUAUCAGCUUGUUGGUGGGGUAGUGGCUUACCAAGGCUUUGACGGGUAGCCGGCCUGAGAGGGUGACCGGCCACCAUGGGACUGAGGUACGGCCCAGACUCCUACGGGAGGCAACAGUGGGGAAUAUUGCACAAUGGGCGGAAGCCUGAUGCAGCAACGCCGCGUGCGGGAUGACGGCCUUCGGGUUGUAAACCGCUUUCGCCUGUGACGAAGCGUGAGUGACGGUAAUGGGUAAAGAAGCACCGGCUAACUACGUG
This 468-nucleotide ribosomal RNA is filed under the name uncultured bacterium. Its description in RNAcentral is "partial 16S ribosomal RNA". It matches the Rfam family "Bacterial small subunit ribosomal RNA", at positions 28 to 507 of the family's 1533-position model. The record is from RNAcentral.